GACGAACGCUGGCGGCGUGGAUUAGGCAUGCAAGUCGAACGGUAUCAUCCUUUCGGGGGUGAGAGAGUGGCGAACUGGUGAGUAACACGUAGGUUAUCUACCCUCAAGACGGGGACAACCCAGGGAAACUUGGGCUAAUACCGGAUGUGAGCAACUUUUAGUUGUUUGAAAGGUGGCGUAAGCUGUCGCUUGGGGAUGAGCCUGCGUCCUAUUAGUUAGUUGGUGAGGUAACGGCUCACCUAGGCAAUGAUAGGUAGGCGGCCUUAACGGGUGGUCGCCCACACUGGGAUUGAGAUACGGCCCAGACUCCUACGGGAGGCAGCAGUCGAGAAUAGUCUACAAUGGUCGGAAGACUGAUAGUGCGACGCCGCGUGAACGAUGAAUCCCUUCGGGGUGUAAAGUUCUUUUAUAUGUGAGCAGUGCUUCUUAUAUUAACAGUAUGGGGAGAGAGAUAUUAGCAUAUGAAUAAAGCAACGGCUAACUCCGUGCCAGCAGCCGCGGU
This 502-nucleotide ribosomal RNA is filed under the name uncultured bacterium. RNAcentral's name for it is "bacterial SSU rRNA". It matches the Rfam family "Bacterial small subunit ribosomal RNA", at positions 28 to 521 of the family's 1533-position model. The record is from RNAcentral.